UGCUGUAGGUCAGUGGCAGAGCACUGAUCUUGUAAACCAGGGAUCGUGAGUUCAAUCCCCCCAGGGGGCAG
RNAcentral lists this transfer RNA (71 nucleotides) under Acanthoscelides obtectus. RNAcentral describes it as "hypothetical protein". Lineage: Eukaryota; Metazoa; Arthropoda; Insecta; Coleoptera; Chrysomelidae. The record is from RNAcentral.